GGGUUGUGAGGUUAAGCGACUAAGCGUACACGGUGGAUGCCCUGGCAGUCAGAGGCGAUGAAGGGCGUGCUAAUCUGCGAUAAGCGCCGGUAAGGUGAUAUGAACCGUUAUAACCGGCGAUACCCGAAUGGGGAAACCCAGUGUGAUUCGUCACACUAUCAUUAACUGAAUCCAUAGGUUAAUGAGGCGAACCGGGGGAACUGAAACAUCUAAGUACCCCGAGGAAAAGAAAUCAACCGAGAUUCCCCCAGUAGCGGCGAGCGAACGGGGAGGAGCCCAGAGCCUGAAUCAGCAUGUGUGUUAGUGGAAGCGUCUGGAAAGGCGCGCGAUACAGGGUGACAGCCCCGUACACAAAAGCGCAUGUGCUGUGAGCUCGAUGAGUAGGGCGGGACACGUGGUAUCCUGUCUGAAUAUGGGGGGACCAUCCUCCAAGGCUAAAUACUCCUGACUGACCGAUAGUGAACCAGUACCGUGAGGGAAAGGCGAAAAGAACCCCGGCGAGGGGAGUGAAAAAGAACCUGAAACCGUGUACGUACAAGCAGUGGGAGCACCCUUUGGGUGUGACUGCGUACCUUUUGUAUAAUGGGUCAGCGACUUAUAUU
Molecule: ribosomal RNA, 602 nt
Filed under: Salmonella enterica subsp. enterica serovar Enteritidis
Lineage: Bacteria; Pseudomonadati; Pseudomonadota; Gammaproteobacteria; Enterobacterales; Enterobacteriaceae
Description: bacterial LSU rRNA
Rfam family: Bacterial large subunit ribosomal RNA
Source: RNAcentral